This 788-nucleotide small RNA is filed under the name Rattus norvegicus (Norway rat). RNAcentral's name for it is "uncharacterized LOC102554813". The record is from RNAcentral. Lineage: Eukaryota; Metazoa; Chordata; Mammalia; Rodentia; Muridae.
AGGAAAGAAGGAGGGAGAGUUGGUUCUUUGGGCCAAGACCCAGAAGCACAUAGACUGGCUCUCAGCUCAAGAGGCUUUUCUAGGUCACUCUCUGUGUUGCUGUCUCUUUCUCCAGCCAGCCUUCUCUGCUUCACGUUUCUUUCAUGUUUCUGACUCAUAGACCUGUUGUUUGACUCAUACUAUCCCUGGGAGUCAGGAUUCAAGGUUUAACAAUAUGGGCAGCAGGAGCACCACUGUCUGCUGUGUCCCUAAGGCUGACGUUGACUCUGAUCUUGCUGUGCAAAGGGACUUCCUAUUCUGCCUGCCCUCCAGGUUCCUUACAAUAAAGGAGACGCUUAGACUCUUCUGAACCAGAACCAUCAGGUGUGAGCGUUUGGAAUCCAGGAAGUCCUCGCCACCUGGCUGUAGAUGGGGAAGCGAUAGCUCAUUGUAUGCUUCUGCAAGAGAACGAGCGAAUGAACUCCAGUUCUUCUAUAUGAGCCAAGCAUUCUCCAGCACCAUCCCUGACAGCUGACCAUGAAGGAGGACUGCUGCUUGAUAAGAGUGGCUUUGUCUGGCAUUUAGAUGGGGUGAGUAGUCAUUCAAAGGAGGAUCUUCUCACUUUGCCCAAUGAGUAAUCCAACAACUGAGUAGAGACAUUGAGACACUGGGCUGGGCACUGGGCCAGGUGUGUGUCAGACGGUCGUGAACAUUAGGGCUACAUUCCUGCUCCUGUGGGGUAGGAAUAGAUAAAAGUUGGAUGGAAGUAAAAAAAAAUAAAUAAAAACAGAUAAUUGGAGUAUUGGAGA